UUUAUGGCGGGACGUGGUGGGGGAGCCUCACGGCUCGCUGGUUCCUUUAUCGCCAGUCUGCUAACCCCGCUACGUCUCGCCACCCA
This 86-nucleotide non-coding RNA is filed under the name insect gut metagenome. The record is from RNAcentral.